RNAcentral lists this ribosomal RNA (508 nucleotides) under uncultured bacterium. RNAcentral describes it as "bacterial SSU rRNA". It matches the Rfam family "Bacterial small subunit ribosomal RNA", at positions 791 to 1300 of the family's 1533-position model. The record is from RNAcentral.
UAGUCCACGCCGUAAACGAUGAGAACUAGAUGUCGGGAGGAUUUACCUCUCGGUGUCGCAGCUAACGCGUUAAGUUCUCCGCCUGGGGAGUACGGUGGCAACACUAAAACUCAAAGGAAUUGACGGGGACCCGCACAAGCGGUGGAGCAUGUGGUUUAAUUCGAUGCAACGCGAAGAACCUUACCUGGUCUUGACAUCCUCGGAACUUUCCAGAAAUGGAUUGGUGCCUUCGGGAAUCGAGUGACAGGUGCUGCAUGGCUGUCGUCAGCUCGUGUCGUGAGAUGCUGGGUUAAGUCCCGCAACGAGCGCAACCCUUGUCUUUAGUUGCCAUCAUUAAGUUGGGCACUUUAAAGAGACUGCCGGUGACAAACCGGAGGAAGGUAAGGAUGACGUCAAGUCAGCAUGCCCCUUAUGCUCUGGGCUACACACGUGCUACAAUGGCCGUGACAAAGAGUUGCUACUUUGUGAAAACAAGCUAAUCUCAUAAACGCGGCCUCAGUUCGGAUUG